Molecule: non-coding RNA, 350 nt
Organism: Odobenus rosmarus divergens (Pacific walrus)
Lineage: Eukaryota; Metazoa; Chordata; Mammalia; Carnivora; Odobenidae
Source: the annotation of a RefSeq genome assembly
AUGUUGCUCUCCAGGCUCCUGAAGGUGGUCAUGGCUUCAAUGUGGCUAGGUGGGGAGAGUCCCAGUGGGAAUGUAACUCAAGCCCAACCAGCAAAGUUGGUGCAGGAGAAGGGGGCUGUCACUCUGGAAUGCACAUAUAACACCAGUGAUCUAAGUUAUAGUCUAUGUGGUACAAGAAGCCCAGUAGUGGAGUGAUGAUAUUCCUUAUUCAUCAAGAUUCUUACAGCCAGCAAAAUGCCACAGAAGGUUGCUACUCAUUGGAUUUCCUGAAGACAAGAAAACCUAUCCAACUUGUCACCUUCGAUUCAGAGCUGGAGGACUCUGCAGUGUAUUUCUGUGCACUGAGGUAG